GCGGCGUGCCUAAUACAUGCAAGUCGAGCGAGAUGUUAGCGCAUGAACCUUCGGGGGAUUAUGCUAACGGACAGCGGCGGACGGGUGAGUAACGCGUAGGCAACCUGCCCCUGACAGAGGGAUAGCCAUUGGAAACGAUGAUUAAAACCUCAUGACACCGUAGAAGCACAUGCUUCAUCGGUCAAAGAUUUAUCGGUCAGGGAUGGGCCUGCGUCUGAUUAACUAGUUGGUGAGGUAACGGCUCACCAAGGUGACGAUCAGUAGCCGACCUGAGAGGGUGAUCGGCCACAUUGGAACUGAGACACGGUCCAAACUUCUACGGAAGGCAGCAGUAGGGAAUCUUGCACAAUGGGCGAAAGCCUGAUGCAGCAACGCCGCGUGAAGGAUGAAGGCCUUCGGGUUGUAAACUUCUGUUCUAAGGGAAGAAACAAAUGA
This 435-nucleotide ribosomal RNA is filed under the name Mogibacterium vescum. Its description in RNAcentral is "bacterial SSU rRNA". It matches the Rfam family "Bacterial small subunit ribosomal RNA", at positions 39 to 457 of the family's 1533-position model. Lineage: Bacteria; Bacillati; Bacillota; Clostridia; Peptostreptococcales; Anaerovoracaceae. The record is from RNAcentral.